UUCAAAAUUAUGAAAUUUAUAAAUGUUUUAUUUUUAAAAUUUUUUACUCUACUAAACAAUAGAUGAAAAUAAAAAGUAAUUUUUUUUCAUUUCUUAAUUUUUUCUACUUCCAUCAUUUUAGUUUUUUGCCUUUCAAUUUUUUUUUUUUUUUGUUUUUUUCAAAACUAAACACACACCCCUACUAAAUACUAGGAGUAAGUGUGCAUUUUGGGUUUUGGUGACAAGGGAUUACAGAAGUUCAGUGAGACUUGUUGGAGAUCUUCAUUAGGCUUUUUAUGUAAGGCCCAUUAUUACACAGAACCUAAUUAUUCACACAUCAUAAUUACAUACAAAGGUAGUAGAAAAACUAGGAAACCCUACGAAAACUCUCCGCCUUCUGCCUUUUUCUCCUUCACCGACCCGUUUUAUAUAUGGAAGCAGAAAGAAACAAGAGCUCAGGGAGAAAGAGGUGGUAGGACAAAAAUGAGUCCAGGUUUCUGUUAUUUUGGUGAUUACCUUUCAAAUCACCCUCAAGUUCAACCAAGUAGACAUUGCUUCUGUUAUUUCUUAUUCCUGGUGGCUAGUUAGCCAUUCACAUCCAAAAGCUAUAUCUUAUGUGUGAAUGGUAGUAGGCUCACCUAAAUCAGGUCUUGGCGGCCUUCUUGGGGAACUGGAUUCUCUUCCAGAGUUUCACUUACAGGCUGUCAACAACAUUCCUCCUUAUUCUCAUUUUGUCUUAUUAUCAAUGCUAUAAAUUUUAGUAAUAGUACUGAUGAAUAAAAUUUUGAUUUUUUGUUCCUGGAUUUCUGGAUUUGAGGUUGUAUUUUCAAUUUAUAAACAAGGGAAAGAAACAGAAUGGUCGGCAUCUAGGGGUUUUUAAAAACCGUUCUUAUCGGUCCUACUUGCAGGCCAAGCUUGAUGGAAGAAGAUAAUAAUAAUUUUAUGCUCAUUCAUUUGUUGGGUCGGACUUGGUUUUUAGUCCUUUAAAGCAAGAGUGGUCAUUGGUGUAGUUGAUGAUCUGUUGGUAGGCAUGCCUUGUUCCCUCGCCUAUCGGAUCUUGAUGCGUCACAAGAUGCAAUCGAUCAUGCAAGUUAUGAAUUCAAGGUAGAGGGGUUGCCUGAUUCACCAGUCUUUCCUUCAUUCCAAUCUUGGGGCGGACUCCCAUGAUUCCUUUCCCAGUGUCUAUAUUCCCCCCUCAUCCGAGGCUCAGACUUAACCUCCAUAAUUAAUCUCAAUAUGGGGCUCCUACAUCCUUCCUGUCAGAAGUAGAUGAUCUCUUAGCUCAGAAGACAUUUAUACAAGGCGACUGCGACUCCCUAUAGCAGAUAGCUUUCAAGACCUACAGAAGAUAGUGUUCAUAAGGAUUAGACAAAUUAAAGCAAAUGAGCCGAUGCCUAGGACUACUAUGGUGUACUUAUCUUCAUUCUACAUCCAAAUUGCUUAACAUAUAUGUACAUAGUUGAAGUUACUUCCUUGCAACAAGUCUUCAUUAUGAUUCUGGUUCAUCUGUUAUAUUUUUUAUGUUUCUCCAAAAAGGAAAUGAAGUAAAUUGCUGCUACACUUUUAAUUUCA
Long non-coding RNA from Gossypium raimondii (Peruvian cotton), 1551 nucleotides. RefSeq lists it as uncharacterized. The record is from RefSeq and is a predicted model, not a curated record. NCBI's taxonomy places the organism in Eukaryota, Viridiplantae, Streptophyta, Magnoliopsida, Malvales, Malvaceae. The transcript has 2 exons.